GUGCUGGGAGAGAAAUCUAAGCACUGGGAGUCCCCUCAGACAGUUCUCUGAGGUCCAGUUGUGCUCUGAACACUUGCAAUUAUCCAGGAAAAAUGAGAACCCCAAAAUAUUUUCAAGCUGGCAGUGACGCCAAAUGGAGACCAGUCAGUCUGAGGCUUGUGAGUGGUAAACAGAACAGUGAGUCCCACAUUUCUUCUACCACCUGAGAUCCCUGGCACCAUCCUAGCCUGUCUAUCCAACAGUGUGCAAUUCACAGUCAUCAAGUUUUUGUGCAUGCUGAAGAGUGACAAACGAUUAAACAUUCCAUGACAAGAGAGGUCCAGACAAGCUCCUUGAAUAUGUUUAAAAGAAAAAUUCUAAAAGAAGCAGAAACCUGGUGUGGUGGAUUGAC
Chinchilla lanigera (long-tailed chinchilla) is the source of this 391-nucleotide long non-coding RNA. RefSeq lists it as uncharacterized. NCBI's taxonomy places the organism in Eukaryota, Metazoa, Chordata, Mammalia, Rodentia, Chinchillidae. The transcript has 3 exons. The record is from RefSeq and is a predicted model, not a curated record.